GCUGUAGUAGUGUAGUGGUUAUCAUCCUAGCCUUCCAAGCUUGGGACCGGCGUUCGAUUCGCCGUUACAGCA
This is a transfer RNA of Rosellinia necatrix, 72 nucleotides long. It matches the Rfam family "tRNA". Rfam says of the family: Transfer RNA (tRNA) molecules are approximately 80 nucleotides in length. The record is from Rfam. Lineage: Eukaryota; Fungi; Ascomycota; Sordariomycetes; Xylariales; Xylariaceae.